Molecule: ribosomal RNA, 548 nt
Filed under: uncultured fungus
Lineage: Eukaryota; Fungi
Description: eukaryotic LSU rRNA
Rfam family: 5.8S ribosomal RNA (bases 168-321)
Source: RNAcentral
UCUGGCUGGAUGCUGUUGUGCUGGCCCUUUGGUGCAAUGUGCACACACUUCUGGUUGUCUGUUUCUUCUGUUCCACCUGUGCACUGCCUGUAGACACUCUGUGUCUAUGAUAUUGGUUACACACACAUGAUGUUUUGCAUAUUGGUUACAUAUGUAUGAUAAUAUACAACUUUCAACAACGGAUCUCUUGGCUCUCGCAUCGAUGAAGAACACAGCGAAAUGUGAUAAGUAAUGUGAAUUGCAGAAUCCAGUGAAUCAUCGAAUCUUUGAACGCAUCUUGCGCUCCUUGGCAUUCCGAGGAGCAUGCCUGUUUGAGUGUCAUUAAACUAUCAAAGCACCUUUCCUGGGGUGUUUUGGACUUUGGGAGUAUUUUGCUGGCCUGUUUGAGCCAGCUCUCCUCAAAAGCAUUAGCUUUGGAGACCAUCAGUGUGAUAACUCUCUUUACACUGACUGAGUGUGUCUCUGCUUCUUAAAUAUGCUGGACACCCUUUGACCUCAAAUCAGGUAGGACUACCCGCUGAACUUAAGCAUAUCAAUAAGCGGAGGAA